UUGGCCCAAAAGUUCAUUCGGAUUUUUUUAGAGAUGUUACAGAAAGACCUGAGUGAACUUUUGGGUCAA
This 69-nucleotide microRNA precursor is filed under the name Ovis aries (sheep). RNAcentral describes it as "miRNA (ENSOARG00000025014.1)". The record is from RNAcentral. Lineage: Eukaryota; Metazoa; Chordata; Mammalia; Artiodactyla; Bovidae.